RNAcentral lists this ribosomal RNA (450 nucleotides) under uncultured bacterium. Its description in RNAcentral is "partial 16S ribosomal RNA". It matches the Rfam family "Bacterial small subunit ribosomal RNA", at positions 338 to 795 of the family's 1533-position model. The record is from RNAcentral.
CCUACGGGUGGCUGCAGUGGGGAAUAUUGGACAAUGGGCGCAAGCCUGAUCCAGCCACGCCGCGUGAGUGAUGAAGGCCUUCGGGUCGUAAAGCUCUGUGGGGAGGGACGAACCGCUGUCGGUUAAUACCCGGCAGCAUGACGGUACCUCCUUAGCAAGCACCGGCUAACUUCGUGCCAGCAGCCGCGGUAAUACGUAGGGUGCAAACGUGGCUGGGAAUUAUUCGGCGUAGGCCUAACAAGUGCGGCGUGAAAGCCCUCGGCUUAACCAAGGAAGUGCAUCCAAAACUGCUGAGCUUGAGUAGUUAAGAGGAUCGCGGAAUUCCCGGUGUAGAGGUGAAAUUCGUAGAUAUCGGGAGGAACACCAGUGGCGAAGGCGGCGAUCUGGGAACAUACUGACGCUGAGGUGCGAAAGCGUGGGGAGCAAACAGGAUUAGAUACCCCAGUAGUC